This 641-nucleotide ribosomal RNA is filed under the name Vibrio parahaemolyticus. Its description in RNAcentral is "bacterial SSU rRNA". It matches the Rfam family "Bacterial small subunit ribosomal RNA", at positions 1 to 621 of the family's 1533-position model. Lineage: Bacteria; Pseudomonadati; Pseudomonadota; Gammaproteobacteria; Vibrionales; Vibrionaceae. The record is from RNAcentral.
AAAUUGAAGAGUUUGAUCAUGGCUCAGAUUGAACGCUGGCGGCAGGCCUAACACAUGCAAGUCGAGCGGAAACGAGUUAUCUGAACCUUCGGGGAACGAUAACGGCGUCGAGCGGCGGACGGGUGAGUAAUGCCUAGGAAAUUGCCCUGAUGUGGGGGAUAACCAUUGGAAACGAUGGCUAAUACCGCAUGAUGCCUACGGGCCAAAGAGGGGGACCUUCGGGCCUCUCGCGUCAGGAUAUGCCUAGGUGGGAUUAGCUAGUUGGUGAGGUAAGGGCUCACCAAGGCGACGAUCCCUAGCUGGUCUGAGAGGAUGAUCAGCCACACUGGAACUGAGACACGGUCCAGACUCCUACGGGAGGCAGCAGUGGGGAAUAUUGCACAAUGGGCGCAAGCCUGAUGCAGCCAUGCCGCGUGUAUGAAGAAGGCCUUCGGGUUGUAAAGUACUUUCAGUCGUGAGGAAGGCGUUGUAGUUAAUAGCUGCAUCGUUUGACGUUAGCGACAGAAGAAGCACCGGCUAACUCCGUGCCAGCAGCCGCGGUAAUACGGAGGGUGCGAGCGUUAAUCGGAAUUACUGGGCGUAAAGCGCAUGCAGGUGGUUUGUUAAGUCAGAUGUGAAAGCCCGGGGCUCAACCUCGGAAU